CACUCCAGUGGUUAUAACUAAUCGGAUAAACAUCAUGCCUUUUACCUGACGUUUUCGAGUUACAGCCAUACACAAUGGAGUUGAUCACUACUUUUUGGACCCGCUUCGGCGGGUU
Molecule: small nuclear RNA, 115 nt
Filed under: Lobosporangium transversale
Lineage: Eukaryota; Fungi; Mortierellomycota; Mortierellomycetes; Mortierellales; Mortierellaceae
Description: U5 spliceosomal RNA
Rfam family: U5 spliceosomal RNA
About the family: U5 RNA is a component of both types of known spliceosome. The precise function of this molecule is unknown, though it is known that the 5' loop is required for splice site selection and p220 binding, and that both the 3' stem-loop and the Sm site are important for Sm protein binding and cap methylation.
Source: Rfam by way of RNAcentral